Molecule: long non-coding RNA, 517 nt
Organism: Brienomyrus brachyistius
Lineage: Eukaryota; Metazoa; Chordata; Actinopteri; Osteoglossiformes; Mormyridae
Exons: 3
Source: RefSeq, a predicted model, not a curated record
AUUUGACUUGUGAGUCCUCGGAAGACCUCCGGCUUCUCAAUGCCUGACGUCUAAGCAGAGACUGGAAUGUCCAAUGAGUGCGUUUCCAAGUUCAUAUGUCUUUGAUCUUUGUCAUCUGGUCACAUGUACGGAAGAUUUAAACCCAAGGAAUCCUGGAGCAAAGCUGCCGAUGAACCUCAGCGAGAAUGAACUCUAAAAAUGAAGCAGGUCAGCCUAUCUGCUUGGACACGCCGCUGACUCUGCGUGGCUGACCUUGGAACCUCACCUGACAUGAGGCAUUUACCAGCACAGUGAGCCACGUGGGACUUACAGGUCACUGCCAUGAAGUAACACUUACACAACUACCCCCCACCCCCUCAAAGAAAAAAAACAAAACAAAAUAGAUCUCAGCGUCAUGUCAACAUCUCAACUAGCAACUUUGUGUAUACAUUUUUAUAUUUUGUGCUUUUUUGACCUCAUAUAGUACCACCUUUUGGCAGCUAUAAUAAAGCUUUCCACUACUUCUAAAUAAAGACAA